Molecule: long non-coding RNA, 1040 nt
Organism: Eptesicus fuscus (big brown bat)
Lineage: Eukaryota; Metazoa; Chordata; Mammalia; Chiroptera; Vespertilionidae
Exons: 8
Source: RefSeq, a predicted model, not a curated record
GGAAAACUUCCCAAGCCCUGAGGAGAUCUGUGGACAGGAAGAAAGGAGAAUGCUUCUUAUGCUUUCAUCUUGAGAGUUCCCCAGCUGUCCAUCCUCACCCAUCUUCUCUUGGCCUGUCUGAACUCUGACCAAGAAGUUCUACAAAGAUCAGAUAAGGCAUACAGCAAGGAUUUCUUAGUUUGGAAAAGAAGCUAGAAGGUGGUACUUACAAGAAACACUACACCAUAGUUCUGGGAACUGACCACCACCAGCACCUCAUCAUCAUACCCAGGCUCUGAAUUUAGAUUAUACCUGCUAGAAUUACGCUGUCCAACAUUGUAGCCACCAGCCACAUGUGGCUUUGGAGCACUUGAAAUGAGAAAAUUCAGGGAGAAGAUAAAUGUGAAGGAGCCAGAUUGUGCAAGAGAGACUAAGAUAAACAACAGAUUCUAACACAAGUUACCACAGCAAGUGGAACAGGUAGUUCAACUUAAAAGUUAUAUCCUCCACACCAUAAAUACAUCUAACCUCUCAACAUCGAGAUACUUAUAUUAUAUUCUAUAUAAUAAAAGCCUAAGCGACCAUUAUGGCGGAACGACCAGAACAACUGGUUGCUGUGAUGCACACUGACCACCAGGGGACAGAUGCUCAAUGCAGGACACUCCACAGGGGAAGCACUGCUCAGCCAGAAGCUGGGCUCAUGGCUGAAGGAAGACCACACCAGGAGAAAGAAGGCAUAGGAGGACUGAGUGCUGCCUACCAGUCUGGUGGGCUAUCAAUAGUUUUCCUAGAGCAUGUUCAUUAAUAGAAAAUGGAGGGAAAAUGUAUGGUAAACAGAAAUCUGCAAACCCAAAUGUGUAAGUAAAUUGGUGAUUAUGAAGAUGAAUCAACUCUUAUAACCCAGAUUCCUUAGCUGUCAAAAUCUGAGGAUAAAGAAACUCAAAGAAACACCAAGCAUGUAGCAAAACUAUACACUAAAUCAUUUCUGCAUCAUGUCCACAGCCACACAGGCUAACGUUUUCUAUCCUGAUGGCCCCUUCUUAGGUGAUGAUUUUUCACAA